RNAcentral lists this ribosomal RNA (253 nucleotides) under uncultured bacterium. RNAcentral's name for it is "partial 16S ribosomal RNA". It matches the Rfam family "Bacterial small subunit ribosomal RNA", at positions 524 to 776 of the family's 1533-position model. The record is from RNAcentral.
GACAGAGGGGGCAAGCGUUGCUCGGAAUUACUGGGCGUAAAGGGCGCGUAGGCGGGAUGGCAAGUCGGUCGUGAAAUCCUUCGGCUCAACCGAAGAACGUCGAUCGAUACUGCUGUUCUUGAGGGUUGCAGAGGAGACUGGAAUUCCCGGUGUAGCGGUGAAAUGUGUAGAUAUCGGGAGGAACACCAGUGGCGAAGGCGGCUACCUGGCCCAUUCUUGACGCUGAGGCGCGAAAGCUAGGGGAGCAAACGGG